CUUUCCUUCACCAAAUCCUGCGUGGCAUUGCUUAUUGCCAUUCGCACAGGGUUCUUCAUCGAGAUCUGAAGCCACAGAAUCUGCUUAUUGAUCGGCGUACCAAUUCACUCAAGCUUGCAGAUUUUGGGCUGGCCAGAGCUUUUGGUAUACCUGUCAGGACAUUUACCCAUGAGGUACAUAUCACAUAUGAACUAAGUUUUACUUUCCUUCAUUGUCAUUAAUGUUUCUAAGUAUCAAGCUUCAAUGAUUCAGUAUCACACUUAAAUCGUUAGUAAUAUUAGCUAUAAGCUCCUAUGCAUUCACAUUGAUGGUGUCAACAAGUCUUUUUCAUCACCCGAUUGUUGGCUCUUCCUCUCUGCACCCAGGUGGUGACUCUUUGGUAUAGAGCCCCAGAGAUUCUUCUCGGAUCUCGCCACUACUCUACUCCAGUUGAUAUAUGGUCUGUUGGAUGUAUCUUUGCGGAGAUGGUGAACAAGAGCCCGUUGUUUCCUGGGGACUCCGAGAUUGAUCAGCUAUUCAAGAUUUUCAGGUGUUGUAAACUUCUCGAUUCCCAUUCUGUUCCCUUGUCACCCCUUCUUAUGCAUUUCUUUGUUUUACCGUGAUUCCCCCUAUCUACAGAAUCACGGGCACGCCAAAUGAGGACACCUGGCCUGGAGUAACAUCUUUGCCCGACUUCAAGUCCACCUUCCCAAAAUGGCCUUCCAAGGUUUCAUGCUUCAUUUCGCUAGUCUUUCCAAGCUUGGGACUAGACGAACGUUACUGAAAAUUCACAAAUCAUGAGUUUUUGCAGGACUUGGCAACUGUGGUUGAAACUCUCCCUUCAACUGGUAUUGAUCUUCUACGGGUAAGUUGACAAUUCUCUCUCGUUACGAUCACCAUGGUCGCGGCUCAGGAUCAUGAUCCCACUGUUUUUUGUGCCAUUACAGAAAAUGCUGUGCUUGGAUCCCAGCAAAAGAAUUACCGCAAGGGCUGCCCUAGAACAUGAUUACUUCAAGGACAUUGGGUUUGGACCGUAAGUGGAGAUGGAAAUGGAAAUGGUCACCUUUAUUCUAAGUGCCCGACGACCAAAAAAAAAAGAUGUAUAUGUUUUUGUGUAGUGUUAAGUCCAUCGUCACCCCGGUGGUGGGUUUUGGAUUGCGAGGAAAAACAAACUGGUUUCUUUGAGAGAAUCUAUGUGGGGGAAGGAAGGAAGAAAAUCACCAUUGUUGUAAUGGUGUUUUUUUGGUUUCUCGGAUUUGUUUUGGUGGGAUUAUUUUCAGCUUUGAUUUUUGGUAUUUGGCUUGGGGUUUUGCUUUAGUGAGGGGCUUGGGGUUUUGUGCUAUUGUAAUCAACAUCUCUUCCCGCUUGAGAAUGUGUUUUAUUGUGGUUGGCUCCCAUGGUUUUUUGAAGCUUCAAAUCUGUUGUCCAGUUACGAACACAUAACUCUAUCAAAAUAAUAUUUUGUUAAAAUUUUAAAAUAAAUUUACUUUAUCAUUAUUAAAGUUUAGACUUGACAAUAGUAAUCCGAAAACCUCAUAUUAAAAAGAGUAGUAGUCUAGAAACCUCAUAUAAGAAAAAAGUAGUAGUCCACAAACAGGAUACUCUCCUGAAGUAUGUCUACUCUAGAUAGUUAAAACCCGCACAACGUGAGUAAUUGAUGGGGUACGAACAGUCUCGUACCCGUUACUUUGGGUAGACGGGCAGAAAAAGAUCCAAUGGUAUCCGAUUUGUACCCUGAUCGGAUGGGCAUUCGUUCUAAAAAUACGGACUCCAAAAGUGUAGUUGUUAUUUUUUAAACCCAACUAAACAAAUAAAUAUAUACCCGUCUAGACAAACAUACGAGUGAAUAAAAACCAGACAAACAAGCGAACAUGUAACAGGUAGAUAGAUACGCCAAGUCCAUUCCCGUACCUACUACCGGUUGCCUUAGCAAAAUUAAUAUCUCCUUCAGAGGGCCUAAGACGACUUUUUCAAAUCUCAACGGCUGUUUGGACGGUUGUGAUACGUUCAAAUGCUUCAAGUUAAAUACUAAUUUUGUAAGGACCAUACUAGCAAAGAAAAAAACAAAAAAAAAUACCCAACAUUUUCGGAAUACAAAAAUUUAAAUCCCACGGGAAUAUUAAUUAUUUUUCCCUAUUUGGUGAGGCUCUCUUUACUCUUUACUCUUUUCCUUUAUUUUCUUCACAAGUCAAGCACAACUCAACUCACUGCCAAUUUGCUUCGCUUGCAUAUGCCGCCGGCGGGCACCACCACCACCACCGACAUAUGUAUUUGGUGAGGCUCUCUUUACUCUUUACUCUUUUCCUUUAUUUUCUUCACAAGUCAAGCACAACUCAACUCACUGCCAAUUUGCUUCGCUUGCAUAUGCCGCCGGCGGGCACCACCACCACCACCGUAAUCUGAUUCCCGUUUCUCCUUGUACUCGUCCACUUGCGGGGCGAGUUGUAUAGAGACUUUCUCCCGGUAACUACACCAUCCAUCGAACUCCAUUUCCCCCCCCCUUUUUAUUGCAGUUUCCCUCCGAGGUGUGGAUUUCGGUUUUGCAAACUGCUCUGGUUUCUUUUUGAUGAUCGAGAUUUCUUCUCUGUUGUUUUUCAUUUCAUCUCUAGCUCUGUGUGUUUCCGGAUUCCCUUGAUAUGCUGACCGGGUUUACUGUUCUAGCAUUUUGCCACCACUAGUACUAAUCUGCAUUUUCUGAUGAUUGAUUUUGACGAUUUCUUCUUCGUUUACUGGUUUGAUUGAGAUCUGAUCUGUUUCUAAUGCUGCUUUUUUCUUUUGGCUGGCAAUUGUAGGGGGGUCGUUUAGCCCGAUUGAAUGGAGCAGGUACUUGGCUUGCUUGGCCGGUGGUUGUUCACUUGUUGUAGCUGGAUGGGAGUUCUACUGUGAUAUCAAUCUGUUUAAGCUUUUGCACUAUCAAUGUUGAAAGUCUGUGUUUGAAAUUUUGAUGUUGGCAGUACGAGAAAGUGGAGAAGAUUGGGGAGGGAACUUACGGAGUGGUAUAUAAGGCCCGUGAUCGAAACACCAAUCAGACUAUUGCUUUGAAGAAGAUUCGCCUUGAACAGGAAGAUGAGGGCGUGCCAAGCACCGCCAUUAGAGAAAUUUCGCUUCUGAAAGAAAUGCAGCAUGGUAACAUUGUGAGGUGUGUGCUUAACAUGUGUGUCUCACUUCAAAUUUCUUAUUCAUAUGAGCCUUAUAUCUGUGCAGCAAUGCAUGUUGUAACUGAAGAAUAAUGCUUCAUUAAGUUGGUGGUAAUAAGUUUUAUUAGGGUAUCAGAAGAAUUUUAGUAUGAUCUUUGCUUUCCCAAUCAUUAGCUACUUCUUUUAGUGCGCUGUUUUUGUGUUGGCUGCAGGUUGCAGGAUGUGGUGCACAGUGAGAAACGGCUAUAUUUGGUUUUUGAGUACCUGGACUUAGAUUUGAAAAAGCACAUGGACUCAAGUCCGGAGUUUGCUAAGGAUCCGCGUAUAGUCAAAGUAAGUAAGAAAUUUACAACGAGAGGAUUUGCUACCAUUUCCCCUUUAUUUGCAACUAUGCUCCUGCAAUAUAAUAUCAUGCAACUGCUAUGAUAUAUGUCUUACUUGUAUUCCUACCAAUGAUAAUUCUUAUGGCAACAUCCGAAUUAUUAGUUGGAUUUAUGGUUGGGUGAAAAGUUCAAGAUGCUGAUUUGAUGCUCAUUCUAUUAGAAUUCUUGUAAUCAUCGUAUCUAUGCUGGGUGUCCUUUCCCUCGUUUGAUUACUAGUGUAAUAUCCCUUUUCUUUGAUGAAGAUAUUCCCUAUUGGAAAUCUUUGAUACCACUUUGCUACCAAUUUUGAACAUCUAUCACUAUUCAUCGUCUUCAAUUUUGCAGACUUUCCUAUACCAAAUCCUCCGUGGCAUUUCUUAUUGCCACUCUCACAGGGUUCUUCAUCGAGAUCUAAAGCCACAGAAUCUGCUUAUUGAUCGUCGUACCAAUGCACUCAAGCUUGCAGAUUUUGGUCUGGCCAGAGCUUUUGGUAUACCUGUCAGGACAUUCACCCAUGAGGUACACAAACUAGUUUUUUAGUUGCCUUCAUUAUGUCUGAUCACUCUGCAGUUCUUUAGUUGCCUUAUUGUUGUUUGGCUCUUAUUUUCU
Molecule: long non-coding RNA, 4087 nt
Filed under: Linum usitatissimum (flax)
Lineage: Eukaryota; Viridiplantae; Streptophyta; Magnoliopsida; Malpighiales; Linaceae
Description: long non-coding RNA (LUSI_LNC005440)
Source: RNAcentral